RNAcentral lists this ribosomal RNA (468 nucleotides) under uncultured bacterium. RNAcentral's name for it is "partial 16S ribosomal RNA". It matches the Rfam family "Bacterial small subunit ribosomal RNA", at positions 28 to 507 of the family's 1533-position model. The record is from RNAcentral.
GACGAACGCUGGCGGCGUGCUUAACACAUGCAAGUCGAACGGAAAGGCCCUGCUUUUGUGGGGUGCUCGAGUGGCGAACGGGUGAGUAACACGUGAGUAACCUGCCCUUGACUUUGGGAUAACUUCAGGAAACUGGGGCUAAUACCGGAUAGGAGCUCCUGCUGCAUGGUGGGGGUUGGAAAGUUUCGGCGGGUGGGGAUGGACUCGCGGCUUAUCAGCUUGUUGGUGGGGUAGUGGCUUACCAAGGCAUUGACGGGUAGCCGGCCUGAGAGGGUGACCGGCCACAUUGGGACUGAGAGACGGCCCAGACUCCUACGGGAGGCAGCAGGGGGGAAUAUUGCACAAUGGGCGGAAGCCUGAUGCAGCAACGCCGCGUGCGGGAUGACGGCCUUCGGGUUGUAAACCGCUUUCGCCUGUGACGAAGCGUGAGUGACGGUAAUGGGUAAGGAAGCACCGGCUAACUACGUG